AAAUGUACAUACUUAUGUAUGUAUGAAUACUUGCUACAUACAUAGCUAUGUUCCUCUGCCGACGUCGACGUCGGUGAAUGUGACCCUUUCAGUUCCACUUUGACCAUGGCCAACUUUUUGGGGUAUAUUCGACCAGUGGACAGCCAAAACCAUUAUUUACCAACUACAAGGUGUUUGAACGCUAGCCAAUUAAGCAAAAACUUGAGCAAAUGCAAUGCAUUAGCCGGGAAUUCAAGAUGUGGAAAGUGCGUUGCUUUGAGCCAGGGUAUCAGCGCAUCGAACCAAUUUUCCAGUGUACAAGCUUCGCGCUCUACUGCUCCCGACUGUCAAAAUGCCGGCCACUACGCUGCAGACAUCACCAUCACAUAGUCAUAGUAUUUGGCUAUUCAAAACCCAUCACCCCACCAUCAUAGUCGUACCCAUAAACACGCAGGGUUCCCAGAACUCUUUUGGCCUCUGUUGUUCUCGUUCUUUAUUAUCACUCGUGGAGAGGUGUCGUUAACAAUGCAGAGAUGGAUAACCCCUAGUGACGUCACUCACCGGUGGGGCUACCUUCGCUCUCCUGCUGACAAUCCUUCUCCAGGAGCAGGAUGCACUCCCUCACCGUAUACCUGGCUUGGGCUAUGUCCCGAUGAAGGCGGUCCUUGGGCGCCCGCAAUCCCAUAAUCGUUGGCGCCAAUUCGGAACGCAUCUCGGCCAGGGUAUUCAGUAGAUCAGAGUACUUGUCCUCUAUGUUGGCAUUGGCAUCCAGAUCUGAAAAGGAUUUGGAGGAAAUUUUCAUAAAAUGUAUGUUGGCAUCAUCCCACAAAGGCCAUCAAUACCAGCUCCACCAGCACUCCCCCCUCCAUUCGCCAAUGACAUCAGCUGGAGCUGGUUCUGCAUGUACUUGGUGUACUCCAGUUUAGCCAUAACCUCCUUGUAUUCGG
Long non-coding RNA from Drosophila subpulchrella, 926 nucleotides. RefSeq lists it as uncharacterized. The record is from RefSeq and is a predicted model, not a curated record. Lineage: Eukaryota; Metazoa; Arthropoda; Insecta; Diptera; Drosophilidae. The transcript has 3 exons.